AUUGAUGAUUGAAGCAACUUCACUUGGUUGUUUGCUGUUGCAAGUUGACAGGAAUAUGUAUUACUAAUGUCUGCCUACAGCGUACCAUCAUUUUGUUUAACAGGAAGCAAGAUGUUUAACACUACAUUAUUUUUUCUGCUCAAUACAGAAUCCCAUUGAUCUAAUGGAAAUCUCAUGCUAUAUCUGUGGCUACAUGUAUAUUGUACCUUGGAUCUGAGUUUCCACAGCUGUAUAAGAAUUUUAAAAGAAAGUCAACAGAAGGCACUUCUUACUUGUUGCUUGCCCUGGCUAUGAUGGGGAGCAGCACAAUGGGCUGAGCCUACUUGUGAAACUACCUGGUCUGAAGGGUCCGAAGAGCAUCUUCAUUCUCGAUCAUUUGGCCUGGUUGAUUGGCAGCUUCGGGGUACUUUUCCUGGACUUUGUUCACAGUUCAUCCUGUAUCGGAAGCACAAAUACACUGGACCAAGCUUGGUGGCCUUGAAGAAAAUCCCAGAGGUGGAACCACUCCUCUGUGACGAAGAGGAGGCCUGCAAAAUGUUGCACAAAGUGUUUGAACUUCAGUCUUGCAUUUCAAAGUGUUUUGAACUAAAAAAAAAAUAAAAAAAAUAAAAAGACGCAA
Long non-coding RNA from Acipenser ruthenus (sterlet), 619 nucleotides. RefSeq lists it as uncharacterized. The record is from RefSeq and is a predicted model, not a curated record. The transcript has 3 exons. Lineage: Eukaryota; Metazoa; Chordata; Actinopteri; Acipenseriformes; Acipenseridae.